Molecule: ribosomal RNA, 774 nt
Filed under: uncultured Arthrobacter sp.
Lineage: Bacteria; Bacillati; Actinomycetota; Actinomycetes; Micrococcales; Micrococcaceae
Description: bacterial SSU rRNA
Rfam family: Bacterial small subunit ribosomal RNA
Source: RNAcentral
AGAGUUUGAUCAUGGCUCAGGAUGAACGCUGGCGGCGUGCUUAACACAUGCAAGUCGAACGAUGAAGGGGGCUUGCUCCUGGAUUAGUGGCGAACGGGUGAGUAACACGUGAGUAACCUGCCCUUAACUCUGGGAUAAGCCUGGGAAACUGGGUCUAAUACCGGAUAUGACUCCUCAUCGCAUGGUGGGGGGUGGAAAGCUUUUUGUGGUUUUGGAUGGACUCGCGGCCUAUCAGCUUGUUGGUGAGGUAAUGGCUCACCAAGGCGACGACGGGUAGCCGGCCUGAGAGGGUGACCGGCCACACUGGGACUGAGACACGGCCCAGACUCCUACGGGAGGCAGCAGUGGGGAAUAUUGCACAAUGGGCGAAAGCCUGAUGCAGCGACGCCGCGUGAGGGAUGACGGCCUUCGGGUUGUAAACCUCUUUCAGUAGGGAAGAAGCGAAAGUGACGGUACCUGCAGAAGAAGCGCCGGCUAACUACGUGCCAGCAGCCGCGGUAAUACGUAGGGCGCAAGCGUUAUCCGGAAUUAUUGGGCGUAAAGAGCUCGUAGGCGGUUUGUCGCGUCUGCCGUGAAAGUCCGGGGCUCAACUCCGGAUCUGCGGUGGGUACGGGCAGACUAGAGUGAUGUAGGGGAGACUGGAAUUCCUGGUGUAGCGGUGAAAUGCGCAGAUAUCAGGAGGAACACCGAUGGCGAAGGCAGGUCUCUGGGCAUUAACUGACGCUGAGGAGCGAAAGCAUGGGGAGCGAACAGGAUUAGAUACCCCAGUAGUCC